Molecule: ribosomal RNA, 468 nt
Filed under: uncultured bacterium
Lineage: Bacteria
Description: partial 16S ribosomal RNA
Rfam family: Bacterial small subunit ribosomal RNA
Source: RNAcentral
GAUGAACGCUGGCGGCGUGCUUAACACAUGCAAGUCGAACGGACAGGCCCUGCUUUUGUGGGGUGCUCGAUUGGCGAACGGGUGAGUAACACGCGUGUAACCUGCCCUUGUCUUUGGGAUAACUUCAGGAAAAUGGGGCUCAUAUCGGAUAGGAGCUACUGCUGCAUGGUGGGGGUUGGAAAGUUUCGGCGGUUGGGGAUGGACUCGCGGCUUAUCAGCUUGAUGGUGGGGUAGUGGCUUACCAAGGCUUUGACGGGUAGCCGGCCUGAGCGGGUGACCGGCCACAUUGGGACUGAGAUACGGCCCAGACUCCUACGGGAGGCAGCAGUGGGGAAUAUUGCACAAUGGGCGGAAGCCUGAUGCAGCAACGCCGCGUGCGGGAUGACGGCCUUCGGGUUGUAAACCGCUUUCGCCUGUGACGAAGCGUGAGUGACGGUAAUGGGUAAAGAGGCACCGGCUAACUACGUG